GAUGAACGCUGGCGGCGUGCUUAACACAUGCAAGUCGAACGGAAAGGCUCCUGCUUGCAGGGGUACUCGAGUGGCGAACGGGUGAGUAACACGUGGGUGAUCUGCCCAGCACUUCGGGAUAAGCCUGGGAAACUGGGUCUAAUACCGGAUAGGACGAUGGUUUGGAUGCCAUUGUGGAAAGUUUUUUCGGUGUGGGAUGAGCUCGCGGCCUAUCAGCUUGUUGGUGGGGUAAUGGCCUACCAAGGCGUCGACGGGUAGCCGGCCUGAGAGGGUGUACGGCCACAUUGGGACUGAGAUACGGCCCAGACUCCUACGGGAGGCAGCAGUAGGGAAUAUUGCACAAUGGGCGCAAGCCUGAUGCAGCGACGCCGCGUGGGGGAUGACGGCCUUCGGGUUGUAAACUCCUUUCGCUAGGGACGAAGCGCAAGUGACGGUACCUGGAGAAGAAGCACCGGCUAACUACGUG
This 466-nucleotide ribosomal RNA is filed under the name uncultured bacterium. RNAcentral's name for it is "partial 16S ribosomal RNA". It matches the Rfam family "Bacterial small subunit ribosomal RNA", at positions 28 to 507 of the family's 1533-position model. The record is from RNAcentral.